Molecule: ribosomal RNA, 914 nt
Filed under: Hamigera paravellanea
Lineage: Eukaryota; Fungi; Ascomycota; Eurotiomycetes; Eurotiales; Aspergillaceae
Description: LSU rRNA
Rfam family: Eukaryotic large subunit ribosomal RNA
Source: RNAcentral
GCAUAUCCAUAAGCAGAGGAAAAGAAACCAAACAGGGAUUGCCUCAGUAACGGCGAGUGAAGCGGCAAGAGCUCAAAUUUGAAAUCUGGCCCCUCCGGGGUCCGAGUUGUAAUUUGCAGAGGAUGCUUCGGAUACGGCCCCCGUCUAAGUGCCCUGGAACGGGCCGUCGGAGAGGGUGAGAAUCCCGUCUGGGACGGGGUGUCCGUGUCCGUGUGAAGCUCCUUCGACGAGUCGAGUUGUUUGGGAAUGCAGCUCUAAAUGGGUGGUAAAUUUCAUCUAAAGCUAAAUAUUGGCCGGAGACCGAUAGCGCACAAGUAGAGUGAUCGAAAGAUGAAAAGCACUUUGAAAAGAGAGUUAAACAGCACGUGAAAUUGUUGAAAGGGAAGCGCUUGCGACCAGACUCGCCUGCGGGGUUCAGCCGGGAUUCGUCCCGGUGUACUUCCCCGCAGGCGGGCCAGCGUCGGUUUGGGCGGUCGGUCAAAGGCCUCCGGAAUGUAUCGCCCCCCGGGGCGUCUUAUAGCCGGAGGUGCAAUGCGGCCUGCCCGGACCGAGGAACGCGCUUCGGCACGGACGCUGGCAUAAUGGUCGUAAGCGACCCGUCUUGAAACACGGACCAAGGAGUCUAACAUCUACGCGAGUGUUCGGGUGUCAAACCCGUGCGCGCAGUGAAAGCGAACGGAGGUGGGAACCCCUCGGGGUGCACCAUCGACCGAUCCUGAUGUCUUCGGAUGGAUUUGAGUAGGAGCGUAGCUGUUGGGACCCGAAAGAUGGUGAACUAUGCCUGAAUAGGGCGAAGCCAAGAGGAAACUCUGGUGGAGGCUCGCAAGCGGUUCUGACGUGCAAAUCGAUUCGUCGAAAUUUGGGUAUAGGGGGCGAAAGACUAAUCGAACCAUCUGGUAGCUGGUUCCUGCCGA